Molecule: long non-coding RNA, 1092 nt
Organism: Betta splendens (Siamese fighting fish)
Lineage: Eukaryota; Metazoa; Chordata; Actinopteri; Anabantiformes; Osphronemidae
Exons: 3
Source: RefSeq, a predicted model, not a curated record
CUCACCGGUAUCAGCUUCUGACAGGUAGACCAGCAGUAAAAGAGACAGGAUGCGGUGUCAGUGUGUCCAGUAUGAUCACUAUGACUGCUCCUAAUAAGUGAUUAGGAAGUAAUAUUACACUAGUUAGGAUAAAAUAAGAAAAAUAUUGACAUUCCAGCCGUCGUUCUGGCUCCAGGACACAUGAAACACCUCGAUAGCUCCUUCACCUCCGGGCUCAUCUCACUGAUUGGUUGCAGGGAGUCCACCCACUGAAUGGCAGACAUGCACUGACUGUCCCCGGUCUGAUGGACAUGCUGGAUGUGCCGGCGGUUUCCUUUACCUCCGAUCACCCGUCCAUCUGUGCUCAAAGGACGACAUCAGCAUGUUUCCUUUUUUAAAUCUACUGUUAGACAAAGACCGGCCUCGGUUACACGCAGCAGAUGAACUCAUCUGAAUCCAUCUCAUACAGAGUCCUCAGAUUCAGAUGUAAAAGCCCCACAAAGGUUCCAGUUUUGGAUAUUUAUUCGCGUGGCCGCUCGACAGAAUAUGGCGAAAAGGCCAAAUGCUUCGCAAUGUGCAAACAGGUAUCUUUGCUCCUUUUUACCUGGACCUAAACCUGCCUUCGUAUGGAAUUCAAUAGUGUCAGGCUUUCAAUGUAAUGACAAGGAGGCUCAUUUUAAUUUUGAUAUGAACCCUAAACAGGCCUUUGUGACUGUUGCUAAAGGUUAGCGACCGUGAGCAGCUGCAGAGUUUGCACCUGCACACGCCCUGAAAAUGUAAAGGUGCUAAUGACAGAACCAUAUGCUGCAUUAAAAUCGCUCUGAUGAAGGAGACAAUGAGAAGCCACAAAUUGCUGCACAGCCACAGAUGUGACAAAAAUAAAAAAAAAAAUCUUUCAAGUCCGACUGCGAGCACCUGUUUUCAUAUGCAUCUCCACAUAACGGAACUGUAGCAACAUGUGGGAGUCUGAUUGUAACCAUGGAGAUGGACUGACCCUAUCAAAAGCAGCCAUAACCUUCUCCAGCCAAGCCGAGCCGGCCAAGAAUAAUAAUAUCAUUGAUCCCAGGCCUGCAUCCUGACGGAGGCUCUGACCCGCGCGACCCGUUCACAGAA